GAUGAACGCUGACAGAAUGCUUAACGCAUGCAAGUCUUUGGCGAAUCUGUGCUUGCACAGGCUAGCCAAGGCGGACGGGUGAGUAACGCGUAAAGAACUUGCCCUGCAGACAGGGAUAACAGACGGAAACGACUGAUAACACCUGAUACAGUUGCCGGCACGCAUGUGCCUGGCAAUGAAAAGAGAUGCUGCAGGAGAGCUUUGCGUCCUAUUAGCUUGUUGGUGAGGUGACGGCUCACCAAGGCGAUGAUAGGUAGCCGGCCUGAGAGGGUGAACGGCCACAAGGGGACUGAGAUACGGCCCUUACUCCUACGGGAGGCAGCAGUGGGGAAUAUUGGACAAUGGGGGCAACCCUGAUCCAGCAAUUCUGUGUGCACGAAGAAGGUUUUCGGAUUGUAAAGUGCUUUCAGCAGGGAAGAAGAAAGUGACGGUACCUGCAGAAGAAGCGACGGCUAAAUACGUG
Molecule: ribosomal RNA, 463 nt
Filed under: uncultured bacterium
Lineage: Bacteria
Description: partial 16S ribosomal RNA
Rfam family: Bacterial small subunit ribosomal RNA
Source: RNAcentral